CCCUUAGAUGUUCUGGGCCGCACGCGCGCUACACUGAUGAAUGCAACGAGCUCUACCCUUGACCGAAAGGCCCGGGUAAACUUGUGAAACUUCAUCGUGAUGGGGAUAGAUUAUUGCAAUUAUUAAUCUUCAACGAGGAAUUCCUAGUAAGCGCGAGUCAUCAGCUCGCGUUGAUUACGUCCCUGCCCUUUGUACACACCGCCCGUCGCUCCUACCGAUUGAAUGGUCCGGUGAAAUCUUCGGAUUGCUGACCAAGAUCCAGCAAUGGAGCUUGGUUGCGAGAAGUUGAUUAAACCUUGUUAUUUAGAGGAAGGAGAAGUCGUAACA
This 327-nucleotide ribosomal RNA is filed under the name uncultured eukaryote. Its description in RNAcentral is "partial 18S ribosomal RNA". It matches the Rfam family "Eukaryotic small subunit ribosomal RNA", at positions 1470 to 1796 of the family's 1831-position model. The record is from RNAcentral.